CCACAUUGGAACUGAGACACGGUCCAAACUCCUACGGGAGGCAGCAGUGCGGAAUAUUGGUCAAUGGGCGCAGGCCUGAACCAGCCAAGUAGCGUGAAGGAUGACUGCCCUAUGGGUUGUAAACUUCUUUUAUAAAGGAAUAAAGUCGGGUAUGUAUACCCGUUUGCAUGUACUUUAUGAAUAAGGAUCGGCUAACUCCGUGCCAGCAGCCGCGGUAAUACGGAGGAUCCGAGCGUUAUCCGGAUUUAUUGGGUUUAAAGGGAGCGUAGAUGGAUGUUUAAGUCAGUUGUGAAAGUUUGCGGCUCAACCGUAAAAUUGCAGUUGAUACUGGAUAUCUUGAGUGCAGUUGAGGCAGGCGGAAUUCCGAGUGUAGCGGUGAAAUGCGUAGAUAUUCGGAGGAACACCAGUGGCGAAGGCGGCCUGCUGGGCUUUUACUGACGCUGAGGCUCGAAAG
RNAcentral lists this ribosomal RNA (454 nucleotides) under uncultured Bacteroidales bacterium. Its description in RNAcentral is "bacterial SSU rRNA". It matches the Rfam family "Bacterial small subunit ribosomal RNA", at positions 308 to 759 of the family's 1533-position model. Lineage: Bacteria; Pseudomonadati; Bacteroidota; Bacteroidia; Bacteroidales. The record is from RNAcentral.